This 392-nucleotide ribosomal RNA is filed under the name uncultured bacterium. RNAcentral describes it as "partial 16S ribosomal RNA". It matches the Rfam family "Bacterial small subunit ribosomal RNA", at positions 523 to 918 of the family's 1533-position model. The record is from RNAcentral.
AUACGGAGGAUGCGAGCGUUAUCCGGAUUUAUUGGGUUUAAAGGGAGCGUAGGCGGGAGCUUAAGUCAGCGGUUAAAUGGUGCGGCUCAACCGUGCCCUGCCGUUGAAACUGGGUUUCUUGAGAGUGCAAGAGGCGGAUGGAAUUCAUGGGGUAGCGGGGAAAUGCUUAGAUAUCAUGAAGAACUCCGAUUGCGAAGGCAGUCCGCUGGGGCACGUCUGACGCUGAUGCUCGAAGGUGCGGGAAUCAAACAGGAUUAGAUACCCUGGUAGUCCGCACGGUAAACGAUGAUUACCCGCUGUCGGCGGUAGACAGUCGGCGGCCAAGCGAAAGCGAUAAGUAAUCCACCUGGGGAGUACGCCGGCGACGGUGAAACUCAAAGGAAUCGACGGGG